CGGCGUGCUUAACACAUGCAAGUCGAACGGAAAGGCCCUGCUUUUGUGGGGUGCUCGAGUGGCGAACGGGUGAGUAACACGUGAGUAACCUGCCCUUGACUUUGGGAUAACUUCAGGAAACUGGGGCUAAUACCGGAUAGGAGCUCCUGCUGCAUGGUGGGGGUUGGAAAGUUUCGGCGGUUGGGGAUGGACUCGCGGCUUAUCAGCUUGUUGGUGGGGUAGUGGCUUACCAAGGCUUUGACGGGUAGCCGGCCUGAGAGGGUGACCGGCCACAUUGGGACUGAGAUACGGCCCAGACUCCUACGGGAGGCAGCAGUGGGGAAUAUUGCACAAUGGGCGGAAGCCUGAUGCAGCAACGCCGCGUGCGGGAUGACGGCCUUCGGGUUGUAAACCGCUUUCGCCUGUGACGAAGCGUGAGUGACGGUAAUGGGUAAAGAAGCACCGGCUAACUACGUGCCAGCAGCCGCGGUGAUACGUAGGGUGCGAGCGUUGUCCGGAUUUAUUGGGCGUAAAGGGCUCGUAGGUGGUUGAUCGCGUCGGAAGUGUAAUCUUGGGGCUUAACCCUGAGCGUGCUUUCGAUACGGGUUGACUUGAGGAAGGUAGGGGAGAAUGGAAUUCCUGGUGGAGCGGUGGAAUGCGCAGAUAUCAGGAGGAACACCAGUGGCGAAGGCGGUUCUCUGGGCCUUUCCUGACGCUGAGGAGCGAAAGCGUGGGGAGCGAACAGGCUUAGAUACCCUGGUAGUCCACGCUGUAAACGGUGGGUACUAGGUGUGGGGUCCAUUCCACGGGUUCCGUGCCGUAGCUAACGCUUUAAGUACCCCGCCUGGGGAGUACGGCCGCAAGGCUAAAACUCAAAGGAAUUGACGGGGCCCCGCACAAGCGGCGGAGCAUGCGGAUUAAUUCGAUGCAACGCGUAGAACCUUACCUGGGUUUGACAUGGAUCGGGAGUGCUCAGAGAUGGGUGUGCCUCUUUUGGGGUCGGUUCACAGGUGGUGCAUGGCUGUCGUCAGCUCGUGUCGUGAGAUGUUGGGUUAAGUCCCGCAACGAGCGCAACCCUUGUUCACUGUUGCCAGCACGUUAUGGUGGGGACUCAGUGGAGACCGCCGGGGUCAACUCGGAGGAAGGUGGGGAUGACGUCAAGUCAUCAUGCCCCUUAUGUCCAGGGCUUCACGCAUGCUACAAUGGCUGGUACAGAGAGUGGCGAGCCUGUGAGGGUGAGCGAAUCUCGGAAAGCCGGUCUCAGUUCGGAUUGGGGUCUGCAACUCGACCUCAUGAAGUCGGAGUCGCUAGUAAUCGCAGAUCAGCAACGCUGCGGUGAAUACGUUCCCGGGGCUUGUACACACCGCCCGUCAAGUCAUGAAAGUUGGUAACACCCGAAGCCGGUGGCCUAACCGUUGUGGGGGAGCCGUCGAAGGUGGGACUGGUGAUU
RNAcentral lists this ribosomal RNA (1429 nucleotides) under uncultured organism. RNAcentral describes it as "16S ribosomal RNA". It matches the Rfam family "Bacterial small subunit ribosomal RNA". The record is from RNAcentral.